AAUCAAUUAAUUAAAUAAAUAAAUAAAUAAAAGAAAAAGAAAAAAUAAGAAAAAAAAGGGAAAUAUGAAUGUGGGAGAGAUGGAAAUAGUAAUUAAAAGAAAUGACCCAAAGUCCAUCAUAAAAAAAAACAAUAAAAACUGAAUUAAAAAAAAGGUGUUUUGUUGGCAAGAAACUGAUGUGAGUUAACAUGAUGGAUCAAACACACAUUUUUAGAUGAACAUGUGAUUAUGGUGUUCAUCCUGAAAAAUUAGAACCACCUCAAAUGUACUAUAAUCCCAAAACCAUAAACAUCAAAGUUCACCGAAGUCAUCCCUAAACUCAUUUCCAAACAUAAAUUCAAUAAAACAACAACAAUUUCAAGAUCCCACACCAUUCCCCAAACCGAAACCUAAUCAUACA
This 400-nucleotide long non-coding RNA is filed under the name Lathyrus oleraceus (garden pea). RNAcentral describes it as "Pisum sativum (pea) long non-coding RNA (PSAT_LNC003247)". Lineage: Eukaryota; Viridiplantae; Streptophyta; Magnoliopsida; Fabales; Fabaceae. The record is from RNAcentral.